GUCUAGCCUGCCCACUGAGUAAUUUAAGGGCCGCGGUAUUUUGACCGUGCAAAGGUAGCAUAAUCAUUAGUCUUUUAAUUAAAGACUGGAAUGAAAGGUAGAACGAGGUACAAACUGUCUCCAGUGAAGAAGAGAAUUUAACCUUUUAGUUAAAAGGCUAAAAUAGUGUUAGAGGACGAGAAGACCCUAUAGAACUUUACAAACUUAAGUUAAGCUUUUAGUAAAGUCUUUAGCUUAUACCUAAACUUUGUUACGUUGGGGUGAUGGGAUAAUAAAUUAACUUAUCUUAGCUAAACCAUAAUAUAUGAUUAAAGGAUCCACAAAUAGUGAUUGAAAAAUUAAGUUACCUUAGGGAUAACAGCGUAAUCCUUUUUGAGAGUUCUUAUCGAUAAGAGGGGUUGCGACCUCGAUGUUGGAUUAAAGGUAAUUUUAGGUGCAGCCGCUUAAAAUCAGGGUCUGUUCGAC
This 465-nucleotide ribosomal RNA is filed under the name Ephemerella needhami. RNAcentral's name for it is "partial 16S ribosomal RNA". It matches the Rfam family "Bacterial large subunit ribosomal RNA", at positions 1852 to 2585 of the family's 2925-position model. Lineage: Eukaryota; Metazoa; Arthropoda; Insecta; Ephemeroptera; Ephemerellidae. The record is from RNAcentral.